RNAcentral lists this microRNA precursor (74 nucleotides) under Myotis brandtii (Brandt's bat). RNAcentral describes it as "mir-9193 microRNA precursor family". It matches the Rfam family "mir-9193 microRNA precursor family". Lineage: Eukaryota; Metazoa; Chordata; Mammalia; Chiroptera; Vespertilionidae. The record is from Rfam by way of RNAcentral.
CUCGGGGCUGGGGGGUCCCUCAGUCCAGAUUGAAAGAGGGUGCAGGCCAGGCUGAGGGACCCCACUGGUGCAGG